Long non-coding RNA from Psammomys obesus (fat sand rat), 1457 nucleotides. RefSeq lists it as uncharacterized. The record is from RefSeq and is a predicted model, not a curated record. The transcript is spliced from 3 exons. NCBI's taxonomy places the organism in Eukaryota, Metazoa, Chordata, Mammalia, Rodentia, Muridae.
GGCCAGCACUCAUAAACCCAGGCUGCCUGGUCCAGCGAGCACUACCACCAUGGUGGCUGGAGCCCCAGAGAGAUAGCAGUGGCGGUGGCACACAGACAUGAUGCCUGUCCUGACCAGGAUGAGAAGCCCAAGCAGCUGUGAGGGGUGGGAAGGGCAGCAGAAAGGAAGCACCGCUCAGAUGUGCCUAGGGGAGGGGGAGCCGGCCCAAAGCUGCCUGCUCUUGGCGCCUCCCGGGGUGGCAGCGAUGGCAAGGGUCUCUGUACAGUAUUUAUGUUUGGUCUACUUUCUGUUUUCUAUUCUGAAAGGCCUCAAGGUGUCUAUUUGUAGGAGUGGCGGCAAGUGACUGAGUGGACAUACUUGAGAGUCACAGCUGUGGGGGUGAAUAGAAAAAAUCCCUGGCCCUGGGGUGGAUGAGGAAUCUCACCAUCGGUUUUAGAUCAAAAGCAGUCUUUUAUCCUCUGUGCCUGGCUGGACUGCCUCUACUCAUAAUGCCAUGAGACCACAGGAACUAGGGACAGUGCCUAGUUGGAUCAACUAACCAGAUGCUUCUGAGGACUACCCCAUUGCCCAGCCUUUGACUGGCAUUUCAGCCUUCCUAGCUUCUGAUGCCAAUGGUCCUAUUGUCAAUAUGAAACAAUUUCAGAAGAAGAGACCCUCAGCCCAAAAUCCCAUCUUGCAGGCUGAAAUGUUAAGACAAAAGGGGCUCCCUGACAGUAGCUAUUAUCUUGGGAACCUGAUUAGCUGGAGUAGGAACUAGUAUUGCUUCCUGGAGAGAUACUAGAGAGAAAAGAUUCCAGAAGAUGGUUUAAAUCCUGGUAUAAUAGUACAAUAUAGGGCUUACUACCUUUAUAUCCACCCUGAAGGGAUCCCUACUCAUUUUGAUUUUUAGCUUUGGUCCUUGUAUUUUAAAUCGCUUGAUGGCUUUCAUGAAUAAAUACUUGAAAGCAAUAUAGCUAAUGGUACUCAGAUUAUAGAAAGGUAAAUUUGAAGGACUGACUUCAGGGGUCAUAUCUGGAAGACCCAAGAUUGGGUCUUUAAAUGAUCAUGGGAAAGGGGGAAUGAGGACCAAAGACUUAAAAAUCAGUGGAUAUUGUUUUAAAGCUUAAAGCCUGAAGGAAGGCUAGCUAGGUGGAGACUUGUCUAGUAAUGCCCUGAGGGGAAGAACUGGUCUUACUGCAUUCUUUCCCCACCCUUUAAUUAUACAGUUGCUAGGAAACCAGCCCAUAUGACCAGGCCAGAUCGGUUUGUGGUCUUGAUGCCUAAAGUGGAACAAUCAUUUUAAAAGUCAAUUUCCUUUACCCAAUCAUGUAAUGCCAAAGCAAGUAAGUCACUGCUUGCAUUUUUUUCCCCUUAAAAAACUUUGUACCCCUAGACCUCAGGGCUGCAAUUCCUCUCCUGUUUCCACAGGAGGUUUGUGUCCUGUGUUUGAAUGAGGAUACAAUUAAAAAACCUCAUAU